AUACUACCCUCGCUGUAUUGGAUUUCUAACCCGCACCAUUAAUCAUGGUGGGAGACAGUGUCAGAUGGACAGUUUGACUGGGGCGGUCGCCUCCUAAAGAGUAACGGAGGCGCUCAAAGGUUUCCUCAGAAUGGUUGGAAAUCAUUCAUAGAGUGUAAAGGCACAAGGAAGCUUGACUGCGAGACUUACAAGUCGAGCAGGGUCGAAAGACGGACUUAGUGAUCCGGUGGUUCCGCAUGGAAGGGCCAUCGCUCAACGGAUAAAAGCUACCCCGGGGAUAACAGGCUUAUCUCCCCCAAGAGUUCACAUCGACGGGGAGGUUUGGCACCUCGAUGUCGGCUCAUCGCAUCCUGGGGCUGUAGUCGGUCCCAAGGGUUGGGCUGUUCGCCCAUUAAAGCGGUACGCGAGCUGGGUUCAGAACGUCGUGAGACAGUUCGGUCCCUAUCCGUCGUGGGCGUAGGAAAUUUGAGAGGAGCUGUCCUUAGUACGAGAGGACCGGGAUGGACAUACCUCUGGUGUACCAGUUGUCGUGCCAACGGCAUCGCUGGGUAGCUAUGUAUGGACGGGAUAAGUGCUGAAAGCAUCUAAGCAUGAAGCCCCCCUCAAGAUGAGAUUUCCCAACUUCGGUUAUAAGAUCCCUCAAAGAUGAUGAGGUUAAUAGGUUCGAGGUGGAAGCAUAGCGAUAUGUGGAGCUGACGAAUACUAAUCGAUCGAAGACUUAAUCAAAUU
RNAcentral lists this ribosomal RNA (729 nucleotides) under Staphylococcus cohnii subsp. cohnii. Its description in RNAcentral is "bacterial LSU rRNA". It matches the Rfam family "Bacterial large subunit ribosomal RNA", at positions 2197 to 2925 of the family's 2925-position model. Lineage: Bacteria; Bacillati; Bacillota; Bacilli; Caryophanales; Staphylococcaceae. The record is from RNAcentral.